GAGGAAUGUAUAGCAAUAGCUAGUUGCAUCAUAGUAAAUAUGAUGCAGGAUUGACUAUGUUGAAUAAAAUUCUAGGUAUGAUUAUGAUAAUGACAUUGUCUGCCUAUAUGUCUUGACCAAAUUACGUGCCAGCAGUCGCGGGAAUACGUAGAAGACUAGUGUUAUUCAUGUUUAAUCGGUUUAAAGGGUACCUAGACGGCAGAUCAAGCUUUCCGAGCAGAAUAAAGAAAGAGAGAAUAAAGGAAGUAAAAAGGACUAAUUUGCUAGAGUUACUUACGAUGGGGCUUUUAAGUACUGCUGGUGUAGAGAUGAAAUCCUAUAAUACCUAAGUUCGAAAGAAUAAUAAUGGCACAGGUAUAGGCGAAGGCAUCCCCUUAUGUGAUAACUGACGUUGAGGGACGAAGGCUUUUAACAGCGAACGGGAUUAGAUACCCCAUUAGUGGAAGCAGUAAAUGAUGAAUGUCAUAGAUUAGCUAGAUAGGUUCAUUCUAUAAAUGAAAGUGUAAGCAUUCCACCUCAUGAGUAAUAUGGCAACAUUGGAAUUGAAAUCAUUAGACCGUUUCUGAAACCAGUAGUGAAGUAUGUUGUUUAAUUUGACGAUCCGCAAAAAACCUUACCACAAUUUGAAUAUAUAUAUUUUUUUAUUGUGUCGCUAUUAAUUUUCUUCUCUUUAUACAAACAUGACACAAUCAUAUAAGAAAAGAGGAAAUAUAUUAAUAAAGAGGCAAUAAGAUAUAUUUACAAGCGCUGCACGGUUGUCUUCAGUUAAUGUCGCGAGAUUUUGGUUAGAUCCAUUAAAUUAACGUAAACCCUUACUUUAUUUUUAGAUAGAGUUGUUCCCCACUAUAUUGGAUACGAU
This 859-nucleotide ribosomal RNA is filed under the name Hypotrachyna horrescens. RNAcentral describes it as "SSU rRNA". It matches the Rfam family "Bacterial small subunit ribosomal RNA", at positions 407 to 1153 of the family's 1533-position model. Lineage: Eukaryota; Fungi; Ascomycota; Lecanoromycetes; Lecanorales; Parmeliaceae. The record is from RNAcentral.